AACGAACGCUGGCGGCAGGCUUAACACAUGCAAGUCGAACGGGUGUAGCAAUACAUCAGUGGCAGACGGGUGAGUAACACGUGGGAACCUUCCUAGGGGUACGGAACAACUCAGGGAAACUUGAGCUAAUACCGUAUACGUCCGUAAGGAGAAAGAUUCAUCGCCCCUAGACGGGCCCGCGUCGGAUUAGGUAGUUGGUGGGGUAACGGCCUACCAAGCCUACGAUCCGUAGCUGAUCUGAGAGGAUGAUCAGCCACACUGGGACUGAGACACGGCCCAGACUCCUACGGGAGGCAGCAGUGGGGAAUCUUGGACAAGUGGGCGCAAGCCUGAUCCAGCCAUGCCGCGUGAGUGAAGAAGGCCUUAGGGUUGUAAAGCUCUGUCGGGGAACGAAUGUUUUCGGGUAACAGCCCCGGGAAGUGACGGUACCCUNAAAGGAAGCACCGGCUAACUCUGUGCCA
Molecule: ribosomal RNA, 461 nt
Filed under: uncultured bacterium
Lineage: Bacteria
Description: bacterial SSU rRNA
Rfam family: Bacterial small subunit ribosomal RNA
Source: RNAcentral